RNAcentral lists this ribosomal RNA (497 nucleotides) under uncultured bacterium. RNAcentral describes it as "partial 16S ribosomal RNA". It matches the Rfam family "Bacterial small subunit ribosomal RNA", at positions 28 to 507 of the family's 1533-position model. The record is from RNAcentral.
GAUGAACGCUGGCGGCGUGCCUAAUACAUGCAAGUCGAGCGAACAGACGAGGAGCUUGCUCCUCUGACGUUAGCGGCGGACGGGUGAGUAACACGUGGAUAACCUACCUAUAAGACUGGGAUAACUUCGGGAAACCGGAGCUAAUACCGGAUAAUAUAUUGAACCGCAUGGUUCAAUAGUGAAAGACGGUUUUGCUGUUACUUAUAGAUGGAUCCGCGCCGCAUUAGCUAGUUGGUAAGGUAACGGCUUACUAAGGCAACGAUGCGUAGCCGACCUGAGAGGGUGAUCGGCCACACUGGAACUGAGACACGGUCCAGACUCCUACGGGAGGCGGCAGUAGGGGAUCUUCCGCAAUGGGCGAGAGCCUGACGGAGCAACGCCGCGUGAGUGAUGAAGGUCUUCGGAUCGUAAAACUCUGUUAUUAGGGAAGAACAAAUGUGUAAGUGACUAUGCACGUCUUGACGGUACCUAAACAGAAAGCCACGGCUAACUACGUG